RNAcentral lists this ribosomal RNA (253 nucleotides) under uncultured bacterium. Its description in RNAcentral is "partial 16S ribosomal RNA". It matches the Rfam family "Bacterial small subunit ribosomal RNA", at positions 524 to 776 of the family's 1533-position model. The record is from RNAcentral.
GACGAACCGUGCGAACGUUAUUCGGAAUCACUGGGCUUAAAGGGCGCGUAGGCGGGCUCGCAGGUCAGGGGUGAAAGCCCACGGCUCAACCGUGGAAGUGCCUUUGAUACCGUGAGUCUCGAGGGAGGUAGGGGCGUGCGGAACUUCCGGUGGAGCGGUGAAAUGCGUAGAUAUCGGAAGGAACAACGGUGGCGAAAGCGGCGCGCUGGACCUCUUCUGACGCUGAGGCGCCAAAGCCAGGGGAGCAAACGGG